This 73-nucleotide transfer RNA is filed under the name Capra hircus (goat). It matches the Rfam family "tRNA". From Rfam's summary of the family: Transfer RNA (tRNA) molecules are approximately 80 nucleotides in length. Their secondary structure includes four short double-helical elements and three loops (D, anti-codon, and T loops). The record is from Rfam by way of RNAcentral. RNAcentral also lists the same sequence under 1 other name. Lineage: Eukaryota; Metazoa; Chordata; Mammalia; Artiodactyla; Bovidae.
UCCCUGGUGGUUCAAUGGUCAAGACUCUGCCCUUCCAAAGCAGGGGGUGUGGGUUUGAUCCCUGGUCAGGGAA